GACGAACGCUGGCGGCGUGCCUAAUACAUGCAAGUCGAACGCUUCUUUCCUCCCGAGUGCUUGCACUCAAUUGGAAAGAGGAGUGGCGGACGGGUGAGUAACACGUGGGUAACCUACCCAUCAGAGGGGGAAAACACUUGGAAACAGGUGCUAAUACCGCAUAACAGUUUAUGCCGCAGGGCAUAAAGGUGAAGGGCGCUUUCGGGGGUCGCGGAGGGAUGGACCCGCGGUGCAUUAGCUAGUUGGUGAGGUAACGGCUCACCAAGGCCACGAUGCAUAGCCGACCUGAGAGGGUGAUCGGCCACACUGGGACUGAGACACGGCCCAGACUCCUACGGGAGGCAGCAGUAGGGAAUCUUCGGCAAUGGACGAAAGUCUGACCGAGCAACGCCGCGUGAGUGAAGAAGGUUUUCGGAUCGUAAAACUCUGUUGUUAGAGAAGAACAAGGACGUUAGUAACUGAACGUCCCCUGACGGUAUCUAACCAGAAAGCCACGGCUAACUACGUG
RNAcentral lists this ribosomal RNA (508 nucleotides) under uncultured bacterium. RNAcentral describes it as "partial 16S ribosomal RNA". It matches the Rfam family "Bacterial small subunit ribosomal RNA", at positions 28 to 507 of the family's 1533-position model. The record is from RNAcentral.